GCUUGUGAUGGCACGUGGAUCGAUUCGAGAAUGCCCGAUCCAACGGCCGGGAGACAUCCACAAGUUUAUCAUUUCUUAAGCAAAUGUAGGAUAAAAUAAUCCCCAUCCUCAAUGCGAUGGGCAGUCAGCCAUGAGAGCAGAGACCAAUGGUCGGACCCAAUCCAACAUUUGUUAAUUGUAAGUGUGUGUGUGUGUGCAAGACGAAGA
This 207-nucleotide long non-coding RNA is filed under the name Elaeis guineensis (African oil palm). Its description in RNAcentral is "long non-coding RNA (EGUI_LNC002323)". Lineage: Eukaryota; Viridiplantae; Streptophyta; Magnoliopsida; Arecales; Arecaceae. The record is from RNAcentral.